RNAcentral lists this ribosomal RNA (253 nucleotides) under uncultured bacterium. RNAcentral describes it as "partial 16S ribosomal RNA". It matches the Rfam family "Bacterial small subunit ribosomal RNA", at positions 524 to 776 of the family's 1533-position model. The record is from RNAcentral.
UACGUAGGGUGCAAGCGUUAUCCGGAUUUACUGGGUGUAAAGGGCGAGUAGACGGCGUUGCAAGUCAGAUGUGAAAACCUAGGGCUCAACCGUAGGACUGCAUCUGAAACUGUAAUGCUAGAGUGCAGGAGAGGUAAGCGGAAUUCCUAGUGUAGCGGUGAAAUGCGUAGAUAUUAGGAGGAACACCAGUGGCGAAGGCGGCUUACUGGACUGUAACUGACGUUGAGGAGCGAAAGUGUGGGGAGCAAACAGG